CUGAUACCACUGAAGGAAAAUAGUGAUUAAAAAGGGCAGCGGAAUUUAAAAUUUUCCUUUGUUGAUCCUUACGAAUGAGCAUGAUUCGUGUUAAGAACUUUUACCUCUUGUGAAGGAUGAGAUUUGAUUCACAAUCAAAAUUGAUCAUGAGCGUUGAAGAUGAACGGCAACGCCUCUAGCUAGUCCACACGAACAACAACCUUCAAGAAGAGUGCUAGCUCCAAGGAUGAAGGUUUUUAGUGAGAGGUGGGN
RNAcentral lists this long non-coding RNA (252 nucleotides) under Trifolium pratense (red clover). RNAcentral describes it as "long non-coding RNA (TPRA_LNC006828)". The record is from RNAcentral. Lineage: Eukaryota; Viridiplantae; Streptophyta; Magnoliopsida; Fabales; Fabaceae.